This 1275-nucleotide unclassified non-coding RNA is filed under the name Hevea brasiliensis (rubber tree). The record is from RNAcentral. Lineage: Eukaryota; Viridiplantae; Streptophyta; Magnoliopsida; Malpighiales; Euphorbiaceae.
UAGAAAACGUUAUCGCUUCUUGUUCUACCUUCUAAUUCAUGCCCAAGUUUCUAUAACUAAGAUAUGUUAGUAAAUUUGUAAAGCAACUUCAUAUUGCUAUAUAUCCAUCCAUAUUUUGUUUGUCUUCAAAUUUUAAACAUUUUGAAACAUGGUACUUUCAAGGUUGUGGUCAUAGCUAUUAAAGGCAAGCCUCGAGCUAUAGGCCACCCAAGCGCCCAACCCAUAUGAGGUGGGUGAUGUUCUAUCAAGUGUGUGCAUAGGCACACCAUGCUAAUAUUUUUUUCUGCAUAAUUUUUUUCUUUUUUGGUUAAAUGUUAUUUCAUCAAGAGUCCAUUGUUGAUUUACAAUGAAUAUGUGCUUACCAUGUUGUCAUACUCACUAAAUCAAAUUAGAACAACAAAAAGAAAGAAGCCAUCAGUAUAUAAGAAAUCAAAGUAAUUAUAUAGAAAAGGAAAUAAAAUAAAACCAGUUUUACUUCAACAUUACCAGGUUCUCUCUCUCUCUUAAUCCUCCAUUUUUCUUCAAUUAAUUUUUCUUUCCUUUUGUUCCAAACCCCUUGAUCCCACUUUUUUCCUCCUUUUGUCAUCUUUUCUCCUACACUCUCAAUCCCAGAAAACAUACAAUAUUUUCUUCAUUCUGCAGAGAAUCUCUGCUGCUACCUCUCUGUUGAUUUUCUCUCUUCGUUUCUCAUCUUUUUUAAUUCUCUCUCCUUUUCUGGAUGCCUCUUGGACUUCCAAUUCAGCAAUUAUUUUUACCCCUUUCCCUUUUUUUCCUUUUCCAGAUGCAUACUGAAUGAAGCCUAUCUGAAACAAUUUAACCCCUUCGAUCCAGUUUCCUAUCUCUCAAUUAGUAAAUUACAGAAUUUUAAGGGUUUGCUUCAAUGAGCUGCUAAUCAGCAUGCUAUCUCAGUGCUAACUCAGCAUAGAAACACAACUCAUGACAUGACUCACACCAUUGGAGAUAAUUUAUAAUACACCAAUAAAAAGUGUGAAAUAAAAUUUAAAAUUCUUGCAAAGUUCAGAACUUAUCAAAUUAUCAUCCCUGAUUCAAUUAAUAUACAAUGCAUCAUAAUUAAAUACAUUGUAGAGUUUUUCCACCCCAUAUUCUUCUGUAAGUUUGCAUUAUCCACAUCAUAUUCAAAAUCUGCGUUGGUCUUUCAUGAGAAUUUAAGUAAAGAUUUGUCACAUUAGAAACAAAAAGGCAUGUAUUUUUGAGCAACUAUGAAAAUAGCGUGAGGAUAUUGGUGAAAAUUGACAAAAAUGGAACAGAAACUUA